This is a long non-coding RNA of Symphalangus syndactylus (siamang), 220 nucleotides long. RefSeq lists it as uncharacterized. NCBI's taxonomy places the organism in Eukaryota, Metazoa, Chordata, Mammalia, Primates, Hylobatidae. The record is from RefSeq and is a predicted model, not a curated record.
UGGGAACUGUAGUUUUUGCUCCCCCACCCCGGAGCUGAGCCGCUGUCCUCUUUCCUCUGACAGAUGAAAAUUGGAAGAAGAAGAAGGAGAAGGAGAAGAAGAAGAAGGAGAAGGAGAAGAAGAGAGAGAGAAAGGAAAGGGGGAAAAACACUCAAACAUAGAUAUGUAACUUGUCAGAUGUCACCCUGCUUGUAAUUAUAGAUGCUGGGAUUUGAACUUA